This 256-nucleotide long non-coding RNA is filed under the name Homo sapiens (human). RNAcentral's name for it is "HSALNT0239184". The record is from RNAcentral. Lineage: Eukaryota; Metazoa; Chordata; Mammalia; Primates; Hominidae.
CCCAGAUACUCACUGGUAGCAGUUGUUGUUGAACUUGUUGUAGCUAGCAAAAGCCAGCAGGACCCCAAAGCCCGGACCAAGAGAGAAGAAGAUCUGAGCGGCUGCAUCUAUCCACACCUGGAACACAGCAGGGGUAUGCUGAAGUAGAUAACAGUGAAGAUCAGCAUGAUGCAGAGGGCCAGCUGCCAGCUGAUGCCCCCCAGGUCCUGGAGCCCCUUAGACCGGUGGAUCUGCAGGACGUGGCGCCUGGGGUGAA